AGUGAACGCUGGCGGUAGGCCUAACACAUGCAAGUCGAACGGCAGCACAGUAAGAGCUUGCUCUUACGGGUGGCGAGUGGCGGACGGGUGAGGAAUACAUCGGAAUCUACUUUUUCGUGGGGGAUAACGUAGGGAAACUUACGCUAAUACCGCAUACGACCUACGGGUGAAAGCAGGGGAUCUUCGGACCUUGCGCGAUUGAAUGCGCCGAUGUCGGAUUAGCUAGUUGGCGGGGUAAAGGCCCACCAAGGCGACGAUCCGUAGCUGGACUGAGAGGAUGAUCAGCCACACUGGAACUGAGACACGGUCCAGACUCCUACGGGAGGCAGCAGUGGGGAAUAUUGGACAAUGGGCGCAAGCCUGAUCCAGCCAUACCGCGUGGGUGAAGAAGGCCUUCGGGUUGUAAAGCCCUUUUGUUGGGAAAGAAAAGCAGCAGGUUAAUACCCCGCUGUUCUGACGGUACCCAAAGAAUAAGCACCGGCUAACUUCGUG
RNAcentral lists this ribosomal RNA (492 nucleotides) under uncultured bacterium. RNAcentral's name for it is "partial 16S ribosomal RNA". It matches the Rfam family "Bacterial small subunit ribosomal RNA", at positions 29 to 507 of the family's 1533-position model. The record is from RNAcentral.